This 106-nucleotide small RNA is filed under the name Marmota monax (woodchuck). Lineage: Eukaryota; Metazoa; Chordata; Mammalia; Rodentia; Sciuridae. The record is from RNAcentral.
GCCAGGUGUGGUGGCGCACUUCUGUAAUCCCAGCUACUUGGGAGGCUAAGGCAGGAGGAUCACAAGUUUGAGGCUAACCUGGGACAUUUUUGAGACUCUGUCUCAA